ACUCAAAGGAAUAGACGGGGACCCGCACAAGCAGCGGAGCAUGUGGUUUAAUUCGAAGCAACGCGAAGAACCUUACCAGGGCUUGACAUCCCUCUGACAGGUGGGUAACGCCACCCUCCCUUCGGGGCAGAGGAGACAGGUGGUGCAUGGUUGUCGUCAGCUCGUGUCGUGAGAUGUUGGGUUAAGUCCCGCAACGAGCGCAACCCUUGUCAUUAGUUGCCAGCAGGUCGCGCUGGGCACUCUAGUGAGACUGCCGGGGAUAACUCGGAGGAAGGUGGGGAUGACGUCAAAUCAUCAUGCCCCUUAUGUUCUGGGCUACACACGUGCUACAAUGGCCGGUACAGAGAGAAGCGAGCUCGCGAGAGGGAGCAAAACUCUAAAACCGGUCCCAGUUCGGAUUGCAGGCUGAAACUCGCCUGCAUGAAGUCGGAGUUGCUAGUAAUCGCGAAUCAGAAUGUCGCGGUGAAUGCGUUCCCGGGUCUUGCACACACCGCCCGU
This 498-nucleotide ribosomal RNA is filed under the name uncultured bacterium. RNAcentral describes it as "bacterial SSU rRNA". It matches the Rfam family "Bacterial small subunit ribosomal RNA", at positions 899 to 1397 of the family's 1533-position model. The record is from RNAcentral.